Molecule: ribosomal RNA, 216 nt
Filed under: Glomeromycotina sp.
Lineage: Eukaryota; Fungi; Glomeromycota
Description: partial small subunit ribosomal RNA
Rfam family: Eukaryotic small subunit ribosomal RNA (bases 40-216)
Source: RNAcentral
GGGUCAGUAGGUUGGUCGUGCCACCGGUACGUACUGGUCUCACUGAUUCCUCCUUCCUGAAGAACCGUAAUGUCAUUAAUUUGGUGUUGCGGGGAAACAGGACUGUUACUUUGAAAAAAUUAGAGUGUUUAAAGCAAGCUAACGCUUGAAUACAUUAGCAUGGAAUAAUGAAAUAGGACGAUCGAUCCUAUUUUGUUUGUUUCUAGGAUUGACGUA